RNAcentral lists this ribosomal RNA (940 nucleotides) under uncultured bacterium. RNAcentral's name for it is "bacterial SSU rRNA". It matches the Rfam family "Bacterial small subunit ribosomal RNA", at positions 424 to 1351 of the family's 1533-position model. The record is from RNAcentral.
UGUAAAGUACUUUCAGCUGGGAGGAAGGGAGUAAAGUUAAUACCUUUGCUCAUUGACGUUACCCGCAGACGAAGCACCGGCUAACUCCGUGCCAGCAGCCGCGGUAAUACGGAGGGUGCAAGCGUUAAUUGUAAUUAUUGGGCGUAAAGCGCACGCAGGCAGUUUGUUAAGUCAGAUGUGAAAUCCCCGGGCUCAAUCCUGGGAACUGCAUCUGAUACUGGCAAGCUUGAGUCUCGUAGAGGGGGGUAGAAUUCCAGGUGUAGCGGUGAAAUGAGUAGAGAUUAGGAGGAAUACCGGUGGUGAAGAGAGUGCCCUCGGAGGAAGAAUGACGCUCAGGUGCGAAAGUGUGGGGAGCAAACAGGAUUAGAUGCAAGGGUAGUUCACGCGGUAAACGAUGUCGAGUUGGAGGUUGUGACAUCGAGGUGUGGUUUCCGGAGAUAAGGCGUUAAGUCGCCAGCAAUGGGGAGUACGGCCGCAAGGUUAAAACUCAAAUGAAUUGACGGGGGGCAGCACACAGCGGUGGAGCAUGUGGUUUAAUGUCGAUGUAAUGUGAAGAACCUUAAGCGGUCUUGACAUCCAAGGCAGUCUUCAGAGACGAGAAUGUGCCUUAUGGAGCCGUGAGACACGGUGUCGCAUGGUCGUCGUCAGCUCGUGCUGUGGGAGGAAGGGCUAAGUCUCAGUCCCAGCGCGACCGUUCUCCUUCGCAGCCAGGGUCUCGAUCGUGACCUCAAAGGAGCAUUACAGCGCCAAAUAGGAGGAAGAAGGCGAGGAUGUCUAGUGGUGAAGACAGUUUUGAUAAGGUUUUCACACGAGAAUCUAAGGAGCUCAGAAAGAGAAGGUACUUUGCAAGAGCAAUCCCACAUCAAGAGGCAAGUUCUAGUCGGGAUAGUCGUCCGUAAGUCAUCUUCAUGAAGUGAAGGUAACUAGAAUUGACGGAUCA